This 253-nucleotide ribosomal RNA is filed under the name uncultured bacterium. RNAcentral's name for it is "partial 16S ribosomal RNA". It matches the Rfam family "Bacterial small subunit ribosomal RNA", at positions 524 to 776 of the family's 1533-position model. The record is from RNAcentral.
GACGUAGGGUGCAAGCGUUGUCCGGAAUUAUUGGGCGUAAAGAGCUCGUAGGCGGUUCGUCGCGUCGGCUGUGAAAACCCGGAGCUCAACUCCGGGCCUGCAGUCGAUACGGGCGGACUUGAGUGUUGCAGGGGAGACUGGAAUUCCUGGUGUAGCGGUGAAAUGCGCAGAUAUCAGGAGGAACACCGGUGGCGAAGGCGGGUCUCUGGGCAACUACUGACGCUGAGGAGCGAAAGCGUGGGGAGCGAACAGG